UUGCGGCCGGCGUACAGGUGGCUGCAUGGCUGUCGUCAGCUCGUGCUGUGAAGUGUUGGGUUAAGUCCCGCAACGAGCGCAACCCCUCGCUGCCUGUUGCCACCACGAGAGGUGGGGACGUCAGGCGGGACCGCCGGUGACAAACCGGAGGAAGGUGGGGAGUGACGUCAAGUCAUCAUGGCCCUUAUGUCCAGGGCGACACACGUGCUACAAUGGCCGGCACAGCGGGAAGCGAGGCAGUGAUGCCAAGCGGAUCCCUUAAAGCCGGUCUCAGUUCGGAUUGAAGUCUGCAACUCGACUUCAUGAAGCUGGAAUCGCUAGUAAUCGCAGAUCAGCCAAGCUGCGGUGAAUACGUUCCCGGGCCUU
RNAcentral lists this ribosomal RNA (366 nucleotides) under uncultured Thermanaerovibrio sp. RNAcentral's name for it is "bacterial SSU rRNA". It matches the Rfam family "Bacterial small subunit ribosomal RNA", at positions 1021 to 1382 of the family's 1533-position model. The record is from RNAcentral. Lineage: Bacteria; Thermotogati; Synergistota; Synergistia; Synergistales; Synergistaceae.